RNAcentral lists this ribosomal RNA (493 nucleotides) under uncultured bacterium. RNAcentral describes it as "partial 16S ribosomal RNA". It matches the Rfam family "Bacterial small subunit ribosomal RNA", at positions 28 to 506 of the family's 1533-position model. The record is from RNAcentral.
GACGAACGCUGGCGGCGUGCUUAACACAUGCAAGUCGAACGGUGAAGCGCCUUCCUUUUUGGUGGGUGUGGAUGAGUGGCGAACGGGUGAGUAACACGUGAGUAACCUGCCCCCUUCUUCUGGAUAACCGCAUGAAAGUGUGGCUAAUACGGGAUAUUCUGGGUCUGUCGCAUGAUGGGUCUGGGAAAGAUAUUGUUUCGGUGGGGGAUGGGCUCGCGGCCUAUCAGCUUGUUGGUGGGGUGAUGGCCUACCAAGGCGGUGACGGGUAGCCAGCCUGAGAGGGUGGACGGUCACACUGGGACUGAGACACGGCCCAGACUCCUACGGGAGGCAGCAGUGGGGAAUAUUGCGCAAUGGGCGCAAGCCUGAUGCAGCGACGCCGCGUGAGGGAUGGAGGCCUUCGGGUUGUGAACCUCUUUCGCCAGUGAAGCAGGCCUGCCUCGUUUGUGGGUGGGUUGACGGUAGCGGGAUAAGAAGCGCCGGCUAACUACGU